AAAACCUACAUCCGUUUUUCAUCUGUCACACAUAGAAAAAGAGCAGGUCUUUGAUCAUGCAGCUGAGGCCACCAUUUUUACUUUUAACUCUCUCAAGACCCUGUACCUCCUGGACCUGGGGCAGAUCCACCAUUUUAGGCAAUUGGAGCUAUAGAUGUAGGGCCCUAGGUUUUACAAAGCACGUGACUUCUUCAAUGUCUCAGUAAGUAAUGAUGCUUCUGCGCAUGCACAGAUUGUACCUUAUGACAUCCGGGCAGGUGGGCGGAGCCUCCCGCCACUUUUACUACCAGUUCUCAAGAACCGGACAACCCACCACACAGUGGGAGCAACCCACCACUGGUUCUGUAGAAAACAGGUGGGUCUUGCAUUGUGAUGUCAUAAUGCUGCUGACAAUAUCAGUUUGCACCCCAUUUGCCUCCUCUGCAGACAACACUGACCUCACAAAAAUGUCUCCAUUUCAUCACGAUUAAUCAGGUCAUCCACUACAAGCUGCUCCUCAAUAGUCAAUGUAUCUAAGAUGCAGUGGAAGUGACCCUCCCUCACCAUCAGUCCAGCUCUACUAAUUUAUGUUGGCCAACGGCAUCUGACUGAUCUGGAGUAAGAAAUGGCAAGAAUUCAGAACAUCUAUUUUAGCAAUCAUCUCUGCUGCAGUUUGUGAGCUGGUUCGUGGGGAGCAACACAAUGGUUGCAAAAGAACACAUUUCAUUUCAUCUCCACCAGGGGAAACUUACAUCCUCAACAGAUCCCAGUACGGUAAAACUCAGUAUCAGACAAAUCCAUGUAGAAAGCUAUGUUCGUGGAUUAGGUCAACUGCUUUCCACCAACAGCCAAGCAUAGACCUUCACAAAUGAAGAAAGGCAUUCAGACCCCAUUCUGAAGACAACAAAUGCAUCUCCAUGAAUACAAGGAGUGAUUUUUGUCACAAAUAGACUAGCCCCAUUUUGAAAGAUAUUUUAUUUUAUUUCAGGGGAUGGGGGGGAGGAUUGACAGAAUGAUGAAUGUUGCCAUAGAUUUUUUUUUUCUCUGGCACGUAUUAAAUGCCUUUCAAUAUUUCAAUUGCCAUACAGAAAAAUAAAGUUAGUUAAAAAAAGGC
This is a long non-coding RNA of Pantherophis guttatus, 1093 nucleotides long. RefSeq lists it as uncharacterized. The record is from RefSeq and is a predicted model, not a curated record. NCBI's taxonomy places the organism in Eukaryota, Metazoa, Chordata, Lepidosauria, Squamata, Colubridae.